Long non-coding RNA from Triticum aestivum (bread wheat), 741 nucleotides. RefSeq lists it as uncharacterized. The record is from RefSeq and is a predicted model, not a curated record. Lineage: Eukaryota; Viridiplantae; Streptophyta; Magnoliopsida; Poales; Poaceae. The transcript has 6 exons.
GCUGCCUCGCUUCCUUUUCUUCCCAAUCCUCGCCCACUCGCUCGUCACUUGAUCGCUCUUCACCGCCCUCGAUCGCUGCCUCCGCUUGCGUCUCCUCGUUCCAUGCUUCGGUUCCCUUCCUCUUACAGGGUCAUCGAUCAAGCCCGCCCUUGAUCGUCCUUCAGCUCGCUGCUCGGGGAGGUUCUUUGCUCGUUCGCUGCGCGUCGGCGAGACAGGUCCUGUUGUCAGCAUCUUCAACUGCUUUACUGAGUACCAGUUGCUAGCUCUUCGGUUCUCCAUCUUCGUGUCAAGAGUGAGGUUGCUGCUUUUGCACAGUGGGUUCUUAUUAUUGGAGAUGGGACAGCCCCUGCUGUUGCACGGAAGGAGAAUCGCUCCCUUCAUGGAUGGCCAAGAAUACAAUUAGCUUGCUUUCAAAGAUACAUGACAAGGAAAUCAACUGGAAUGUGUGUGUGUUCCUCUCUCAUCUAUGACAUUAUCGUCGGACAAGCGAUGACGGCCCAAUUCUGCAUACUAACCUUGUGGUUAUCGAUCAAGAGGGAACCACCACAUGUAUCCACAGCUUCCUCCUGAGGCAUCUGAACGCUUGAAGGAUGUUCUAGGGGAAGGAAAGGUCUCCCUCAUGAAGAAGUUCAUGUGCAACAAUCGAAGUCAUCUUUCAGGGCUGUUGAGAGCCCUUACAUGAUUCAGUUCACUCGAUACAGCACCGCUGUGCCUCAGCCAGGUCUUGAGGAUGCAUAUACA